Molecule: ribosomal RNA, 1128 nt
Rfam family: Bacterial large subunit ribosomal RNA
Source: Rfam
AUUAUGUGUAAAAAGAAAUUAUUAUGGAUAAUUAGCUAUAUAUUAAAGAAUCACAUAGAUGUUAUCUUGAUUCUAAGAGAAAUCCUAAAUAAUAAAACAAAGUGAAUUGAAAUAUCUCAGUAACUUUAGGAAAAUAAAUCAAACGAGAUUAUUAUUUAAGUAAAUACUAAAUAAUAAUAGCCUAAUUUAAGUAAAAUGGAUAAUAUCUGUUUGAAUAUAGGGGAACCUUCCUCUAAGGCUAAAUAUGAUAUAUAAGCGAUAGUGAAUAGUACCGUGAGGUAACAUUUGAAAUAGUAAUUUUAUAAGCAGCUCGAGUAAAAAUUAAAAUUAAAAAUAAGAGUGUACCUUUUGCAUAAUGGGUCAGCAAGUUAAUUUUAGAUGCAAGUGGUAUAAAUAAUUAUAUAUGGUAUAAUCUAUAUAAUUAAAUUACCUAAGAUAAACCAAUUAUGAAAAAAUGAUAAGUAUCUAAAAUUAGACCCGAAGGCUAGUGAUCUUACCAUGAUCAGGGUUAAAAAGGCCCGAACGGGUUAUCGUUGUAUAGAUAUCCGAUGAAUUGUGGUAAGUUAGUGAAAGAUAAAACUGACUAGUAUAGCUGGUUUUCCGCGAAACCUAUGUGAGUAGGUAAUUUAAUUAACAUCUUAGCAGGUACAGAACUGUGAUCUCGGACAAUAUUAUUUUUAUAAUACUUGUUUACAUCGGGGGAUUGUAGUGAUUUUAUCGGAGAGUAUUUGCACUCGGAAGGGCAAAGAUGAAUAUUGAAUAAUCGGACAUAGUACGAUAAGGUUGUAUGUCUAAAGGGAAACAGCCCAGAACAAGAGUUUAAGGUUCCAAAAUUAUUGUUAAGUGAAAUUAAGGAUGUUUUUUUCAAAAACAAUCAGGAAAUAGGCUUAGAGGCGGCCAUUUUUUGAAGAUCUCGUAACAGAGCACUGAUUAAAUUUAAUAGGAAAAAAUACCGAAAAUUUAACGGAUCUAAAUAAUAUACCGAAACCUUGUACACAAUAACUGUGGGGUAGCGGAACAUCGGAUGUUUGAAUAAUUAGUAUAUUUAUUUUAUUAAGUAUACUUACACAUAUAAGUCAAAUGUAUUGUUUAUAAAAAAAAUAUAUUUAUAUAUUUUUUUUAUAAAUU